Molecule: ribosomal RNA, 424 nt
Filed under: uncultured bacterium
Lineage: Bacteria
Description: partial 16S ribosomal RNA
Rfam family: Bacterial small subunit ribosomal RNA
Source: RNAcentral
AAUUUUGGACAAUGGGGGAAACCCUGAUCCAGCCAUCCCGCGAGUAUGAUGAAGGCCANCGGGUUNGNAAGUACGUUUGGCAGAGNCGAAAAGGCAUCCCCUAAUACGGAAUGCUGCUGUCGUUAGCUGCAGAAUAAGCACAGGCUAACUAAGUCCCAGCAGCCGCGGUAGUACGUAGGGUGCAAGCGUUAAUCGGAAUGACUGGGUGUAAGGCGUGUGUAGGCGGUUCGGAAAGAAAGAUGUUAAAUCCCAGGGCUCAACCUUGGAACUGCAUUUUUAACUGCCGAGCUCGAGUAUGUCAGAGGGGGGUAGAAUUCCACGUGUAGCAGUGUAAUGCGUAGAUAUGUGGAGGAAUACCGAUGGCGAAGGCAGCCCCCUGGGAUAAUACUGACGCUCAGACACGAAAGCGUGGGGAGCAAACAGG